GGACCACAACUCCCAGGAGGCAUCGUGAUGUUGCCCGCGCAGCCUUACUUCCUGCCAGGCCGUUUCCUGGGUAACAGCGGCUCGGCCUGUCUGGGAAGUUUAAGAUAUAUGAAAGCUGAAGGAAUUCAUCACCAGCAGACUCACACUACGAGAAAUAGUGUGGAAAGGUGGAUCUAAGCAAAGAAAGGAAGAACACCAAAGAUGAAAACUACAUAGGAAAACCUUACCUACAAAUCAAGCAUCAGAUCCCAUUUGGCCCAUGGGCCAUUGUUUCCUAACCCUUGAUCUAUGUAGAAGAUCGUUUGGAAUCUACAAAAAAUUUCUAAAACUACUGAGGUUACAAAUGUUACAGGACGCAAGACCAAUAUACAAAAAAUUUUGGUUUUAUAUAAUAACAAUGAAUAAUCAGGGUGCUACAGCAUGUCCAUAUGGGGAUGAGAAGAGAGGACAAAUGGAGGCAUAAGGAAGUGGAACUGGCUCCUUGAGUGGGCUUGUGUGUCCUGUGCUCAAGGGAGACAUGGCCCUGGGAGAAGAGCAUAGCUCCUCCGGAACAGACAAAGACGGAUAGGACUUGCUUAAUAUGCCACAGUGGCUCUUUGUUAGUGAUGAUGAUAAUACUAACAAUUACAGCAAUGAAAAUAGUUGGGAGGCCUUUGUAUUCAUUCAUAAAAUGAGUCACACAAAUUCAGCAGUCCUUGAUUUUCUUUGAUGAAGUUUCCAACCAGCACAUUGAAGAGUACCUUACAGGUACAGAAUUUUUGAGGUCUCCAGCGAAGAAAGAGUAAUGACCUCAACCCCAACUUUCCCUGGAAGCAAGGUCCAGUUGGUCUAAAUUGGAGGAAUCCUUUGAUAAGGAUGAUGGAAAAUCCUCUACCUGUUUAUUCACUGUAAAGUCGUAUUGCCAUUCAAAGUUUGCAGUACUAGUAGUAUUUUCAUGAACAAAAACCUCUGUCCCCUUCUCUCUGUUCCCUUGUCAGUCCCACUACCAUGAGUCCCAUCACUGUUACUCAUGCAAGAAAAAAAUAGCAGUAACUUCCGUUUAUGAAGUGGUAGUAGGCGCUGUCCCUCAAAUCUUUCACAAUAGCCCUAUGCAGUAGAUAGUAUCAGCUCCUGUUAAUCGUGGAAAAUGAGGCUUAUAGAGCUUAGGUCAGGGUCUGAAGUCACAUCUCAGAAGUAUCAGAGCCAGAAUUAAAAUCCAAGUCUGUGUGACUCCAAAGUCUUUGCUUUUUUUUUUUUUUNNNNNNNNNNNNNNNNNNNNAACAGAGGGAGAGGGAGAAGCAGACUCCCUGCUGAGCAAGGAGCCCGAUGUGGGACUCAAUCCCAGGAUGCUGGGAUCAUGACUUGAGCCGAAAGCAGCUGCUUAAUCAACUGAGCCACCCAAGCAUCCCAAGUCUUUGCUCUUGAUGAGAAUUUCAUGUCAUGCCACCUGCCCUUCUGAAUGAAAAGUUUCACUGGUGUAGAUAUAUGCAUGUUUCCCUCCAAUUCUCAUUUAUUGCAAGGACCACAUUUUGACAUAAUAAAGGAACUCAGAAGGAUAAAAAUAAUUCAGGGUUCCAACACCCUGUUGUAGCAACUGUUUCAUUUUUAUCCAUUUCCUUUUGAUCUUUAUCCAUAUGUACAUGUUUUACGUAGUUGUAGAUAUAAUUUUGUAUUCUGCCGCUAUGGUUAAUAUGAUACCAGGCAUUUUCCUUCCUGCUAUUUGGUUUUUAAUGGACGCGUAAUACUCCAUUUUCUUAAAGUGCCAUGAUUUCAUUAACCAUUCCCCACAAUGGACCAAGUUCUUUCCAUGUUUUGAGUUGUAGAAACUCUACUGUAGCAAACAAUUUGAUUUCUGCCCCCUCCUCCCAUCUUUUCUAAUUUUUUUAAGAGAACCAGUUCCUAGGAGUGACAUUACAAAACAAGAAUUUGAACACGUUUAUGGCUUUGAUACUUUAAAAACGAGUCAAAUUAAUAAAGUUUGUACCUCUGAUGAUAGUAAACAGAUAGUCUAAUCCACAAUAAUAGAUUAAUUACAUUAAUUAUUGUUUAGGGGAACCAAAUUAAUGACAAAUGUAGAGUAAUUGCUUGUGAGUACAGGGUUUCUUUUCGGGGUGGUGAAAUGUUCUGGAAGUAGGUGGUGGUGAUGGUUGUAUAGCUUUGUGACAAUACUAGAAACACUGAAUUGUGUUUAUACUUGAAAAAGGUCAAUGGUAUGUUAUGUGAAUUAUAUCUCAAUAAAGCCACUAUAAAGAAUUAAAAACAAAGUUUCUGAUAUUCCAAGUAAUGGUUUCAACCAUUGCUAUCAAUGUU
Molecule: long non-coding RNA, 2289 nt
Filed under: Mustela putorius furo (domestic ferret)
Lineage: Eukaryota; Metazoa; Chordata; Mammalia; Carnivora; Mustelidae
Description: lncRNA (ENSMPUG00000030085.1)
Source: RNAcentral